RNAcentral lists this ribosomal RNA (397 nucleotides) under uncultured bacterium. RNAcentral describes it as "partial 16S ribosomal RNA". It matches the Rfam family "Bacterial small subunit ribosomal RNA", at positions 523 to 918 of the family's 1533-position model. The record is from RNAcentral.
AUACGUAGGGGGCGAGCGUUGUCCGGAAUGAUUGGGCGUAAAGGGCGCGUAGGCGGCCCGGUAAGUCUGGAGUGAAAGUCCUGUUUUUAAGAUGGGAAUUGCUUUGGAUACUGUCGGGCUUGAGUGCAGGAGAGGUAAGUGGAAUUCCCAGUGUAGCGGUGAAAUGCGUAGAGAUUGGGAGGAACACCAGUGGCGAAGGCGACUUACUGGACUGUAACUGACGCUGAGGCGCGAAAGUGUGGGGAGCAAACAGGAUUAGAUUCCCUGGUAGUCCACACUGUAAACGAUGAAUGCUAGGUGUAGGGGGUAUCGACCCCUUCUGUGCCGCAGUCAACACAAUAAGCAUUCCGCCUGGGGAGUACGGCCGCAAGGUUGAAACUCAAAGGAAUUGACGGGG